GGUGAGAUGGCCGAGUGGUUAAAGGCAGCAGACUGUAAAUCUGCCCGCGUAAGCGUACGUAGGUUCGAAUCCUACUCUCACCACCA
This 86-nucleotide transfer RNA is filed under the name Alphaproteobacteria bacterium. RNAcentral's name for it is "tRNA-Tyr". It matches the Rfam family "tRNA". Rfam says of the family: Transfer RNA (tRNA) molecules are approximately 80 nucleotides in length. Their secondary structure includes four short double-helical elements and three loops (D, anti-codon, and T loops). Lineage: Bacteria; Pseudomonadati; Pseudomonadota; Alphaproteobacteria. RNAcentral also lists the same sequence under 1 other name. The record is from RNAcentral.